GAAGGUGGCUAGCGUUGUUCGGUGUCACUGGGCUUAAAGCGUGUGUAGGCGGGAAAGGUAAGCGUCUUGUGAAAUCCCUCGGGCUUAACCGAGGAAUUGCUUGGCGAACUACCUUUCUUGAGGCAAGUAGGGGUGCAUGGAACUCUUGGUGGAGCGGUGGAAUGCGUAGAUAUCAAGAGGAACGCCAGUGGUGAAGACGGUGCACUGGGCUUGUCCUGACGCUGAGACACGAAAGCGUGGGGAGCGAACGGGAUUAGAUACCCCGGUAGUCCACGCCGUAAACGAUGUCUACUAGGUAGUGGAGUCUCUGACGUCUGCACUGCCGAAGCAAAAGUGUUAAGUAGACCGCCUGGGGAGUACGGUCGCAAGGCUA
RNAcentral lists this ribosomal RNA (373 nucleotides) under uncultured organism. Its description in RNAcentral is "partial 16S ribosomal RNA". It matches the Rfam family "Bacterial small subunit ribosomal RNA", at positions 527 to 896 of the family's 1533-position model. The record is from RNAcentral.